Molecule: transfer RNA, 75 nt
Filed under: Trichonephila inaurata madagascariensis
Lineage: Eukaryota; Metazoa; Arthropoda; Arachnida; Araneae; Nephilidae
Description: tRNA-Asp
Source: RNAcentral
UCCUCGGUAGUACAUAGUGGUCGAGUAUCCCCGCCUGUCACGUGGGAGACCGGGGUUCGAUUCACCGGGGAGUAU